CAAUGAUGAAAUCACCAAAAAUAGCUGGAAUUACCGGCAGAUUGGCAGUGGUGAGCCUACGGUUUUCUGAAG
This is a small nucleolar RNA of Chinchilla lanigera (long-tailed chinchilla), 72 nucleotides long. NCBI's taxonomy places the organism in Eukaryota, Metazoa, Chordata, Mammalia, Rodentia, Chinchillidae. The record is from Ensembl.